Hyla sarda is the source of this 370-nucleotide long non-coding RNA. RefSeq lists it as uncharacterized. NCBI's taxonomy places the organism in Eukaryota, Metazoa, Chordata, Amphibia, Anura, Hylidae. The record is from RefSeq and is a predicted model, not a curated record. The transcript has 3 exons.
UGUUAUCUUUCAAACUGCCCUCUUCUGAGAUGUCCAUUAGUGAUUCACUCCGUCGCAGUACGCACGCGCCGCUUGGCAACUGCGAUGCGACCCAUGUGAUCCUGUUCUUCCCCCUGAUUGGUGUACUCUCGUCUCCUCUGUUAGGGCUGCUGCGCAGCCUCUAUUCCACAUACACGCCAUUCUGGCGUUCUAUCGCCAUGUUUACAGCAUGUACAGAGUGAAAAUCCCCCUGAUAUCUAACCUUUAAGGCUUCUUUCAAUGGCCAAUUGCAGCAUUACAGUAGCAGCGACAUGGGGCAACCCGUCAAAUAAUUCUCUACAAGACAAAGACGAAAAAAAAUGGCUUAAAAGAAGCAAUGCACAAUACCCAU